GUCAGAAUUAACAUACAAAUUCUGCAAAACAUUUUUGGCAGUUUAAUUGGGGCAGUGUUUUGUAGACAAAUGAACAACUUAAGUAAGGGGAAUCAACAAAACUUGGGUUUCAAAAGUUAUCUGGGUUUAGAGUGUGAAACUUCGUCGGAGGACACACACCUUGCGUGAAUGAGAUGCCUCGGUGUGUGUGGACAUGUUGGAGGUACAGCAUAAUGGUGGCUUCCUCCAGAAAGGGACAUUUGGGGGAGCACCAAUGGCUCCUGUCUCACAGUGGAUUCAUUCCACCUAGACAACACAGCCUGAUGUGGCAUGGACAUGAAUGGAGGUCAAAUGGGCAGUAGCUGAGAGGAUCAGCCCUGACAAGGGCCAGGGUGAAAGACCUGGGAGUCUCUUCAGGUGCAAAGUCUUCAGUUGAAAAAAGGAGGUGGUCACAGGAGAUACUGAGCUGGAUCAAUAAAGUGCAGGAGAGAGAGUUGUUGGCCCUGGGGAGCGAGUAGUAUGGACUCUUAAGUUUUCUCCUCCUUCCAUUAAUUUCUCUUCCAGUGCAGACUUCAGUCUUAGACUUCCCAGCUGCCUUGAGGGAUUGGAUGAGCCUUGGCCAGCUCUUGAAGGAAACAAUAAAAUCACUUUAAUGUGCUACUUUUCAUUUUGAAGUCAUUACAGUAUCAUUUGCAAAACUCAACAAGGAAAGAUGCCUGUGGAUGGCCGUGUUCUGGGAGUCACUGUGAUGAGGUGCUGCCUGCUUUCGCCCAACCUGAUCUGGGGCUCAGACAGCUAACAGGCCCGAGUGGCUAGGAGGUUUGCAGGGAACCAGGUUUCGCUGUGAUGAAAGCACCUUGCUGUGGGCUGGGAGGUGGGAGUGCAGGGCAGCCUGGGCCCCCCUGACCCCAUACUCAGAUCGGCAAGUGCCCAGUGGAGGCCACAUGGCCCCAGCACCAACCAAUGUAGGGUCU
This 953-nucleotide long non-coding RNA is filed under the name Homo sapiens (human). Its description in RNAcentral is "non-protein coding lnc-ANKRD62-4:1". Lineage: Eukaryota; Metazoa; Chordata; Mammalia; Primates; Hominidae. The record is from RNAcentral.